CAUAGGUGGUGAGCGUUAAUCGGAAUUACUGGGCGUAAAGCGUGCGCAGGCGGUCUGUUAAGACCGAUGUGAAAUCCCCGGGCUUAACCCUGGGAACUGCAUUGGUGACUGGCAGGCUUUGAGUGUGGCAGAGGGAGGUAGAAUUCCACGUGUAGCAGUGAAAUGCGUAGAGAUGUGGAGGAACACCGAUGGCGAAGGCAGCCCCCCUGGGUCAAGAUUGACGCUCAUGCACGAAAGCGUGGGGAGCAAAUAGG
Molecule: ribosomal RNA, 254 nt
Filed under: uncultured bacterium
Lineage: Bacteria
Description: partial 16S ribosomal RNA
Rfam family: Bacterial small subunit ribosomal RNA
Source: RNAcentral